GUGCCAGCAGCCGCGGUAAUACGUAGGGUGCAAGCGUUAAUCGGAAUUACUGGGCGUAAAGCGUGCGCAGGCGGUUGUGUAGGUCAGAUGUGAAAUCCCCGGGCUCAACCUGGGAAUUGCAUUUGAGACUGCACGGCUAGAGUGUGUCAGAGGGGGGUAGAAUUCCACGUGUAGCAGUGAAAUGCGUAGAUAUGUGGAGGAAUACCGAUGGCGAAGGCAGCCCCCUGGGAUAACACUGACGCUCAUGCACGAAAGCGUGGGGGGCAAACAGGAUUAGAUACCCUGGUAGUCCACGCCCUAAACGAUGUCUACUAGUUGUCGGGUCUUAAUUGACUUGGUAACGCAGCUAACGCGUGAAGUAGACCGCCUGGGGAGUACGGUCGCAAGAUUAAAACUCAAAGGAAUUGACGGGGACCCGCACAAGCGGUGGAUGAUGUGGAUUAAUUCGAUGCAACACGAAAAACCUUACCUACCCUUGACAUGGAUGGAAUCCCGAAGAGAUUUGGGAGUGCUCGAAAGAGAACCAUCACACAGGUGCUGCAUGGCUGUCGUCAGCUCGUGUCGUGAGAUGUUGGGUUAAGUCCCGCAACGAGCGCAACCCUUGUCAUUAGUUGCUACGAAAGGGCACUCUAAUGAGACUGCCGGUGACAAACCGGAGGAAGGUGGGGAUGACGUCAAGUCCUCAUGGCCCUUAUGGGUAGGGCUUCACACGUCAUACAAUGGUACAUACAGAGGGCCGCCAACCCGCGAGGGGGAGCUAAUCCCAGAAAGUGUAUCGUAGUCCGGAUUGGAGUCUGCAACUCGACUCCAUGAAGUUGGAAUCGCUAGUAAUCGCGGAUCAGCAUGUCGCGGUGAAUACGUUCCCGGGUCUUGUACACACCGCCCGUCACACCAUGGGAGCGGGUUUUACCAGAAGUGGGUAGCCUAACCGCAAGGAGGGCGCUCACCACGGUAGGAUUCGUGACUGGGGUGAAGUCGUAACAAGGUAGCCGUAG
RNAcentral lists this ribosomal RNA (995 nucleotides) under uncultured Herbaspirillum sp. RNAcentral's name for it is "bacterial SSU rRNA". It matches the Rfam family "Bacterial small subunit ribosomal RNA", at positions 505 to 1505 of the family's 1533-position model. The record is from RNAcentral. Lineage: Bacteria; Pseudomonadati; Pseudomonadota; Betaproteobacteria; Burkholderiales; Oxalobacteraceae.